UUUUAAUAGUAAUUCAUCUCAGUGUGGACUCUCAAACCUCAAUUUAUCUUUGUUGCUGCCAACGUUUGGAUUACUCUGUGGCUCUGUGUCUCUGUCACUGCUGUGAGGCCCAGAAGGAUCAGAGGGAAUUGAUAUACACAAGGAACUGAAUUUCAACUAAUGUGAGCUUGUUGCUAAUUUUCUAACACAUAACCAAGAAACAUUCUAAUUCAUUACUGUUUUGUCAUCGCCGUCCUCCAGAGGAAACUCUUCUGUGUAUUCAUUUUUCUUGAAGCCUUAUUCAUCAAGCUACAGACUGGAUCCCCUUCCCUCCACUACAUCAGGAAAUGAGGCCCUGCUCUAUUGUACUCUUCAGGACUCCCAAGAGGAGAAAACUGAGGUAUGGAGAGAAGAGAAGCCACUCACCCAAGGAUGCGCACCUCUGUGCAGAGACCUCCCCCAGCUUUGCAUCAUCCUCCAAUCUGAUAAACAGGCAAGCCAUAUCUUUCUCCAAGUUACGGAUAAAAAUGACAAUGGCACAGCCUGAGCCAGCAUCUCUGGGGCCCUGCCCUGGAGUCUACUUCCCAGACUGACCCCAGCUCCUACUCUGGGUUCCGGCUGGUCAGCUGCCCUGGCAUGUCAGCUUCCCGCACCUUUCCACUGCCUCCGGGCAAUAUCAGAGACUUUGCUGAAAUCUCGUCAGCCCUCGGGGACACAAUCCAGGCUUUGUCUUUGAGGCUGAGGCGGGACACUCUGCAGGUUCCCACCUCCUUCUCUGCAUGCCCAACAGUGGUGUCUCUACAAGAGAAGUGAAGUAACAUUUGCCCUCCGGCUGCUGUGGCUGCUGCUGUCGCUAGGACCCCUCCCGCUCUCUGUGCUUUUCAAAGGUCACCACAAGGCCUGGGCAGUCACACCCGUUGGUCGCUCCUUCCAGGACCAAGGAUGCGGUCAUUUGGGUCAGGUCGCUGAGGACAGCCGGGCACCCUCUUCCCAUCCCCUGCCUAGUCUGGGGUUCCGGUUCCCCCGUAGCUGUCUUUGCUGUCCUUUUC
This 1028-nucleotide long non-coding RNA is filed under the name Phascolarctos cinereus (koala). RNAcentral describes it as "lncRNA (ENSPCIG00000031911.1)". The record is from RNAcentral. Lineage: Eukaryota; Metazoa; Chordata; Mammalia; Diprotodontia; Phascolarctidae.